Molecule: unclassified non-coding RNA, 432 nt
Filed under: soil metagenome
Description: partial contains 5.8S ribosomal RNA, internal transcribed spacer 2, and large subunit ribosomal RNA
Rfam family: 5.8S ribosomal RNA (bases 1-120)
Source: RNAcentral
GAUGAAGAACGCAGCGAAAUGCGAUACGUAAUGUGAAUUGCAGAAUUCAGUGAAACAUCGAAUCUUUGAACGCAUAUUGCGCUCUCUGGUAUUCCGGAGAGCAUGCUUGUUUGAGUAUCAGUAAACACCUCAACUUCCAUAUCUUUUUUGAAAUGGGAGUUGGACUUGAGUGAUCCCAACGCUUUUCCUCACCGAAAAGUGGCGGGUUACUUGAAAUGCAGGUGCAGCUGGACUUUUCUCUGAGCUAUAAGCAUAUCUAUUUAGUCUGCCUAAAAAACAGAUUAUUACCUUUGCUGCAGCUAACAUAAAGGAGAUUAGUUCUUGUGCUGACUGAUGCAGGAUUCACAAAGACGGCUUCGGCCGACUUUGUAAACUCGAUCUCAAAUCAAGUAAGACUACCCGCUGAACUUAAGCAUAUCAAUAAGCGGAGGA